AGAGUUUGAUCAUGGCUCAGAACGAACGCUGGCGGUGCGCUUAAUACAUGCAAGUCGUGCGAGAAAGUACCCUUCGGGGUGCGAGUAGAGCGGCGAACGGGUGAGUAACACGUAAGCAACCUGCCUUCAAGUUUGGGAUAACCUUGCCAACGCGGGGCUAAUACCAAAUGUGGUCACGAAACUGCAUGGUUUUGUGACUAAAGCUGACCUCUGCUUGCAAGUUAGCGCUUGAAGAUGGGCUUGCGUCCCAUUAGCUUGUUGGUGGGGUAAUGGCCUACCAAGGCAACGAUGGGUAGCCGACCUAAGAGGGUGAUCGGCCACAUUGGGACUGAGAUACGGCCCAGACUCCUACGGGAGGCAGCAGUAGGGAAUUUUGCGCAAUGGACGAAAGUCUGACGCAGCGACGCCGCGUGAGCGAUGAAGGUCUUCGGAUUGUAAAGCUCUGUUGAGUGGGAAGAAAACCUUCAAGGUUAAUAUCCUUGGAGCUUGACGGUACCACUCGAGGAAGCCCCGGCUAACUACGUGCCAGCAGCCGCGGUAAUACGUAGGGGGCUAGCGUUGUUCGGAAUCACUGGGCGUAAAGGGAGUGCAGGCGGGAAGGUAAGUUAGGAGUUAAAUCCACAGGCUCAACCUGUGGCCUGCUCUUAAUACUGUCUUUCUGAGUAUGAGAGG
This 672-nucleotide ribosomal RNA is filed under the name uncultured bacterium. RNAcentral's name for it is "bacterial SSU rRNA". It matches the Rfam family "Bacterial small subunit ribosomal RNA", at positions 8 to 655 of the family's 1533-position model. The record is from RNAcentral.